GCCGGGCCCCGUGGUGCAUGCUUGUGAUUCCAGCACCCAGGGAGGCUGAGGCCGGUGGAUCGCUUGAGCUUGGGAGUCCUGGGUUGCAGGAGGCUGCACUGAGCGAGUGUCUGUGCUAAGGGUGGCAUUGAUGGGAAGGGAGGUCCGUGGAGAGCCAGGGGUCCCCAGGUUGCCUAAGGAGGGGCGAACUGGCCCAGGUUGGGAACGGAGCAGGUCAAAGCUCCUGUGUAGCUCAGUAGCGGGAUAGCACCUGUGAGCAGCCCCUGCAGCGCAGCCUGGGCGAGACACGGAGACCCGCC
Molecule: signal recognition particle RNA, 299 nt
Filed under: Pelodiscus sinensis (Chinese soft-shelled turtle)
Lineage: Eukaryota; Metazoa; Chordata; Testudines; Trionychidae
Description: Metazoan signal recognition particle RNA (ENSPSIG00000019938.1)
Rfam family: Metazoan signal recognition particle RNA
About the family: The signal recognition particle (SRP) is a universally conserved ribonucleoprotein. It is involved in the co-translational targeting of proteins to membranes.
Source: RNAcentral